UAUGUGAUCGUCUCUCGCAUAUCAAUAAGCGGAGGAAAAGAAACUAACAAGGAUUCCCCUAGUAACGGCGAGUGAAGCGGGAAGAGCUCAAAUUUGAAAUCUUAAAGGGUUUCCCUUUACGAAUUGUAGUUUAAAGAAGUGUUUUCUGUUGAGGUUUUGGUAAAAGUUCUUUGGAAUAGGACAUCAUAGAGGGUGAGAAUCCCGUAUUUGACCUUUACUUUCAACUUUGUGAUACACUUUCAAAGAGUCGGAUUGUUUGGGAAUGCAGUCCAAAAUGGGUGGUAAAUUUCAUCUAAAGCUAAAUAUUGGCGAGAGACCGAUAGCGAACAAGUACCGUGAGGGAAAGAUGAAAAGAACUUUGAAAAGAGAGUUAAACAGUACGUGAAAUUGUCAAAAGGGAAGCGUUUGACACCAGUGUUGUUUUUCUGAAAAUCAAUUAAAGAACUGUUUAUGCUAAGUUGUUUAGACUUUAUCAGCUAACUGUUUAGUUUUGAGCUUUUCUUUAAUGCACUUUUCAGUUAACAAGUCAACAUCAAUUUCUUUUGCUGUAAAGAAGCUUGAGGAAGGUGGCUUGAGAUUCGUCUUAAGUGUUUAUAGCCUCUUGCCUAUGCAGUCGGAGAGAUCGAGGUCUGCAGCGUAGAUCCUUCGGGGCUAAAUGCAUUUGUGCUAAGUUAUAGCAUUUUAUAGACAACUUGUUGACUAUGAUUUGUCUUGUAGCUUACUCGCUUAUGUUAUUUUACCUACGCUUAGGAUGUUGAAUCUGUGCGAGACUAC
Molecule: ribosomal RNA, 774 nt
Filed under: uncultured Neocallimastigales
Lineage: Eukaryota; Fungi; Neocallimastigomycota; Neocallimastigomycetes; Neocallimastigales
Description: partial large subunit ribosomal RNA
Rfam family: Eukaryotic large subunit ribosomal RNA
Source: RNAcentral